This 301-nucleotide ribosomal RNA is filed under the name uncultured bacterium. RNAcentral's name for it is "partial 16S ribosomal RNA". It matches the Rfam family "Bacterial small subunit ribosomal RNA", at positions 509 to 807 of the family's 1533-position model. The record is from RNAcentral.
CAGCAGCCGCGGGAAUACAGAGGGUGCGAGCGUUAAUCGGAUUUACUGGGCGUAAAGCGUGCGUAGGCGGCUUCUUAAGUCGGAUGUGAAAUCCCUGAGCUUAACUUAGGAAUUGCAUUCGAUACUGGUAAGCUAGAGUAUGGGAGAGGAUGGUAGAAUUCCAGGUGUAGCGGUGAAAUGCGUAGAGAUCUGGAGGAAUACCGAUGGCGAAGGCAGCCAUCUGGCCUAAUACUGACGCUGAGGUACGAAAGCAUGGGGAGCAAACAGGAUUAGAUACCCGCGUAGUCCCUGUCUCUUAUAC